CUUGUCCCUCCACAGACAGGCAGGAAGAGGAGGCGGUGAAGGGGAAGAAAAGGACAAAAUUUAACCAGGGCCGGGGACGCUACUCACCCAGCGGGCUGAAGGCGGCCUCCCACGUCAUGAAGUCAUCACGCGUGUACAGCUCCACAGAGCCCCGGCUGCCACUGGAGCAGACCUUGAAGCCGUCAGAGAUGACCUGUCCCCCGUACGUGGAAGGGGCUGGCCGGGACUGCUCUCCCUGGAUCUUCCAGAAAAAGGAAAAGAAAAGGAGCCUCAAGAUUUUUGCAUGGCCCUGACACACAGAGCUGAGUGGGGAGGGAGGUGUUUG
RNAcentral lists this long non-coding RNA (325 nucleotides) under Cavia porcellus (domestic guinea pig). Its description in RNAcentral is "lncRNA (ENSCPOG00000035259.1)". The record is from RNAcentral. Lineage: Eukaryota; Metazoa; Chordata; Mammalia; Rodentia; Caviidae.